RNAcentral lists this ribosomal RNA (430 nucleotides) under Pseudomonadota bacterium. RNAcentral describes it as "Proteobacteria bacterium partial 16S ribosomal RNA". It matches the Rfam family "Bacterial small subunit ribosomal RNA", at positions 355 to 776 of the family's 1533-position model. The record is from RNAcentral. Lineage: Bacteria; Pseudomonadati; Pseudomonadota.
UGGGGAAUAUUGGACAAUGGGGGGAACCCUGAUCCAGCCAUGCCGCGUGUGUUAAGAAGGCCUUAUGGUUGUAAAGCACUUUAAGCGAGGAGGAGGGUACUGGUAUUAAUACUACCAGGUACUGGACGUUACUCGCAGAAUAAGCACCGGCUAACUCUGUGCCAGCAGCCGCGGUAAUACAGAGGGUGCGAGCGUUAAUCGGAUUUACUGGGCGUAAAGCGUGCGUAGGCGGCUAAUUGAGUCGGAUGUGAAAUCCCCGAGCUUAACUUGGGAAUUGCAUUCGAUACUGGUUAGCUAGAGUGUGGGAGAGGAUGGUAGAAUUCCAGGUGUAGCGGUGAAAUGCGUAGAGAUCUGGAGGAAUACCGAUGGCGAAGGCAGCCAUCUGGCCUAACACUGACGCUGAGGUACGAAAGCAUGGGGAGCAAACAGG